Molecule: long non-coding RNA, 1785 nt
Filed under: Taeniopygia guttata (zebra finch)
Lineage: Eukaryota; Metazoa; Chordata; Aves; Passeriformes; Estrildidae
Description: lncRNA (ENSTGUG00000019138.1)
Source: RNAcentral
GCAGUGCCACCCUCCCUUGAUCCACUUGUGCCCGAGGCAUGACCACUGUGGCAGUGAGCUCAGCUGGGCUGGGGGGGUCAGCUGGCACCAGCUGUGGCCAGCACAGGGCAGUCCUAAAAUUUUUAAUCCUAAAAGCAAACCUGGGAAAAAUAUUUAAUCUCAAAUUGGAAAACCAAAACUCAAACAAAUAAAAACCUUUUAAAAUCAGCUAUUUACAGUUUUAUGAAUAUUUCUCAUCAAUUAGAAAUAAAGAUGCCUGCAACUAGCACUGAAGGCCUCUGAUAAGACACAGUUAUGUAGUUUAAUGUCAAUAACUCCUUUCAUGGAAUAAAAAUCCGGAGACCCUGGCCUUUUUCCCCCCACCUCCCAAGCUGAAGACAGGAAACUUUGUUCACCCCUUCCCUGACUGCACUCUCUGUACUCACAGCUUGGCACCUUUUUGGAGCAGGACACAGGAGCCUUUCUGGCCUGGGUGGAAACAGGUCCCUGACACCCACACUCUCUGGCUGUGGCUCAGGCCCCUACAUCUGAUGCCACCAGCUCAACCUCAACUUAAUUUUUUCAGCAUUCCUAUAAAGUUUAAAACUCAUCCCAAUAAUAAUGAAGUUGAAAAACUGUCCAAGGUGAAGCAGCUGAGAAAAGUGACAAAGAGGUUGUCUUAGAUUUAUGUCAAAAAAAGCAAAUUACCUCCCUGUGACCAAAAGCAACUGUCCAAUAUCAAACAACUUAAGCAAAACAUAUCUCUGGGACUGAAAUACUUUGUUCCCACACCAUCCAAUAAUACUGAAAGAUAAUCAUCCAAUAAUACAUCAAAUUCCACUGAAAAGGCAGGGAAACUAAAGAAGACCCUAAACUUGAAUGAACCCACUUGUUUUCCCAACUAACCUUGUUGAUUUCAAGUUAAAGUCCAUGCCAUUUUUUGCCUCACCAACUCCUCAGAAAUCACUUUCAUUGAGAAAACCUGUGUGGAACAAUUAAGGCAAUGCAAUUUUGCAUAUACGGAAGAGUGGGGAAAAAAAAGUGAUUGUAAGAAAAGUAUAAAGUGGUAGAAUACUACGAAGAAAAAAAAAAUCCACACACUAAACUUGACUUCUUAUACAGAAAACCUGGUAUAAAAUUUUUCAUUGAGUUUGAAAAUGAAGCAGUGUGAAAUAUAACCAUCAUCUAUUUGACUGCUUGUAUUUUAGGUUAGAGUUUUGCUUUUCGGAAGAGGCAAUACACAAGAUAUUAUUUAUAUGUGUUUAUAUUUAAAUAUCUCAACAAUUCUAUGUGAAAUCCAGACAGUCAUUUGUUAUGAUUUCUUCUUUCUUUUUGGAAUGGGCCGUAUAGCUUCUUAAAAAAGCUUAUUUAAAUCACUUGUCAUAACAUCUUAGAAAUAGCAGAUAUUUUCCAAAAUGCUGACAAACACAGAGAGCUAUGGCCAUGAUGCAGACACGGGGCCACAGUACUGCUACACAGUCAGGUGUCCUAUUAUGAAGUUGUCUUACUAGGUAAAAGGAAUGGAAAACCAGAGCAACACUACAUCUUCAUUAAUCCACCUUCAUAACACCACUUCAUCCUGCUAGCAGCAGCUAAAACAGCAAGAGCUGGGCUGCUCCCCAAGCAAGGAGCUGUGGCUGACUCCAGAGCAAAAGGUGAACAGAAAGCCCUGAAGUGCCUGAACACAGCAAGCAGGGACACAAAGCACUGGUCACAGGUGCCACCAACACACUCCAGGGAGCAGCAGGGAAAGGAACAAGCCAAGAAGAAGCAGGGAAAUCCCACUGAUGUUCAGGUGCAAAGCUA